UUAAAGCAGGCUUCUCAAAAAUAUACUUGAUUGGAUCCAUUUUGGAUAUCAACCAAGUGGUGUGAUUCAACAUAUAUUGACACAGACGCUUAGCAGCCCAAGCCAAUGCGCAACAAGUCUUCUCAAGAGUAGAAUACCGAGUCUCACAUUCAGUGAACUUCUUACUGAGGUAGUAAAUAACAUAUUCUUUCUUCCCAGUGUCAUCUUGCUGACCUAGAACACAAC
This 225-nucleotide long non-coding RNA is filed under the name Lathyrus oleraceus (garden pea). RNAcentral describes it as "Pisum sativum (pea) long non-coding RNA (PSAT_LNC024440)". Lineage: Eukaryota; Viridiplantae; Streptophyta; Magnoliopsida; Fabales; Fabaceae. The record is from RNAcentral.